Ornithorhynchus anatinus (platypus) is the source of this 318-nucleotide long non-coding RNA. RefSeq lists it as uncharacterized. The record is from RefSeq and is a predicted model, not a curated record. Lineage: Eukaryota; Metazoa; Chordata; Mammalia; Monotremata; Ornithorhynchidae. The transcript has 3 exons.
AGCUUAGUGUCUAUAGGGGUCAGGCCAGGUCACUGCUGGCCAUUGAGUCCUUUUUGCCGGUUCUGAAUCUUUAACUACCCCUCCUCCACAGUCCCACACUGCUUCCAUCCUCCUCUCCGAUGAAGAACCAGGGUUGGGCCGUCUGACCUCCACAGCUAGGAAGAAAACAUCAGAGCUGGAAGAAGCGGAUGAGAAGAGGAGUCAGUUCCAGUCCAUCAAGAUCAAUCAGUGUUCCUCCUUCAGAAAUGUGUAUGAAUUUUGCAUGCUUGAGCCUGAGGGAAAAGAGAGAUUUUUCUCUUUGGACACCCAAUCCACAGU